UCCCCUAGUAACUGCGAGUGAAGCGGGAUAAGCUCAAAUUUAAAAUCUGACGGUCUUUGAUCGUCCGAGUUGUAAUUUAGAGAAGCGUCUUCCGCGUCGAGCCAUGCACAAGUCUCCUGGAAUGGAGCAUCAUAGAGGGUGAGAAUCCCGUCUUUGGCAUGGACCCUUCGAUGCUUCUGUGAUGCGCUCUCAAAGAGUCGAGUUGUUUGGGAAUGCAGCUCAAAAUGGGUGGUGAACUCCAUCUAAAGCUAAAUAUUGGCGAGAGACCGAUAGCGAACAAGUACCGUGAGGGAAAGAUGAAAAGCACUUUGGAAAGAGAGUGAAACAGGACGUGAAAUUGUUGAAAGGGAAACGCUUCAAGUCAGUCGCGUUGACCGAGACUCAGCCUCGCCUAGGCUUGGUGUACUUCUCGGUUGACGGGCCAGCAUCAAUUUCGUUCCUUGGAUAAUGGCAAGGGAAAGGUGGCACCCUUUCGGGUGUGUUAUAGUCUCCUGUCGAAUACAAGGGAUGGGAUUGAGGACCUCAGCACGCACCUCUCGGUGUCGGAGCUUCGGCUCACGCUCACGUGCUUAGGAUGUUGGCGUAAUGGCUUUAAACGACCCGUCUUGAAACACGGACCAAGGAGUCUAACAUGCCCGCGAGUGUUCGGGUGGAAAACCCGUCCGCGAAAUGAAAGUGAAAGUCGGGACCUUUGUCGUGAAGGGCACCGACGCCCGGACCAGACCUUCUGUGACGGAUCUGCGGUAGAGCGUGCAUGUUGGGACCCGAAAGAUGGUGAACUAUGCCUGAAUAGGGUGAAGCCAGAGGAAACUCUGGUGGAGGCUCGUAGCGAUUCUGACGUGCAAAUCGAUCGUCAAAUUUGGGUAUAGGGGCGAAAGACUAAUCGAC
This 888-nucleotide ribosomal RNA is filed under the name Lactifluus sp. KW 392. RNAcentral's name for it is "eukaryotic LSU rRNA". It matches the Rfam family "Eukaryotic large subunit ribosomal RNA", at positions 76 to 940 of the family's 3401-position model. Lineage: Eukaryota; Fungi; Basidiomycota; Agaricomycetes; Russulales; Russulaceae. The record is from RNAcentral.